AACGCGAAGAACCUUACCAGGUCUUGACAUCUGGGUGUAAGCACUAGGGAGAUAGUGCCCCUCUUCGGAGCACCCAAGACAGGUGGUGCAUGGUUGUCGUCAGCUCGUGUCGUGAGAUGUUGGGUUAAGUCCCGCAACGAGCGCAACCCUUGAUCUUAGUUGCCAGCACUUCGGGUGGGCACUCUAAGAUGACUGCCGGUGACAAACCGGAGGAAGGUGGGGAUGACGUCAAAUCAUCAUGCCCCUUAUGACCUGGGCUACACACGUACUACAAUGGUCGGUACAACGGGAAGCGAAGCCGCGAGGUGGAGCCAAUCCUUAAAAGCCGAUCUCAGUUCGGAUUGCAGGCUGCAACUCGCCUGCAUGAAGUCGGAAUUGCUAGUAAUCGCGGAUCAGCAUGCCGCGGUGAAUACGUUCCCGGGCCUUGUACACACCGGUAUCUC
This 443-nucleotide ribosomal RNA is filed under the name uncultured bacterium. Its description in RNAcentral is "bacterial SSU rRNA". It matches the Rfam family "Bacterial small subunit ribosomal RNA", at positions 958 to 1400 of the family's 1533-position model. The record is from RNAcentral.